This 30-nucleotide non-coding RNA is filed under the name Homo sapiens (human). The record is from RNAcentral. Lineage: Eukaryota; Metazoa; Chordata; Mammalia; Primates; Hominidae.
CCCUGAGUUAAGGCACUGACUACUUGUGGG